RNAcentral lists this long non-coding RNA (1227 nucleotides) under Bos taurus (domestic cattle). Its description in RNAcentral is "long non-coding RNA NONBTAT000947". The record is from RNAcentral. Lineage: Eukaryota; Metazoa; Chordata; Mammalia; Artiodactyla; Bovidae.
UUGUCCCCUAGAAGUCUAGCUUUCUCUAAAGCUUAAAGGUUUAACUCGUUAAAUCCCACCUACCUGUCUUAUGUACUCUUCAGUUUCCGGUCUUGUACUUCUUUUAUUCGUUCACUUAGGAAGAAAGCAAACACAACAAAAAAGAAAUCAAGCCCUAACUUGGUACAGUAGCUAACAGAGCAUCUUAAAUCAACACACCAGCAUAACUUGUACUGAUUAAAGUAAUUAUUUUUGUCUCUAGCAUUUUGCAUUGUCUCUGCUACCAAAACUUCCUGAUACUCAGACACAGAACAAUGGGAGGCCCAGAUGUUUAUUGGUAUAAGGCUCAUCUUCAGCUUAUGAAAAGAAGACACAAUUUACAGUGCUGUCUCUUAGACCUCCAGUAUCACAUCCUUUCCUUUGACUACAUUAAAGUGGUAGCAGAAAGCAGAAAGACACACAACGGAGCAAGUUACCAGCCACCCCAGAGCUGGCAUUGGUAUUAGGUUACCAUUCUGCAUUUCUUUCCCCAUCUUCUACCUGUUUACAGGAAAGUUGGGACAAGGUCAGGGAAAGUGCGGAAUUGUUAUCAGCUUUGCUGAGGCCACACCUGAAUGAAAAGUUUGGUGCUGAAACAAGAUUGAACUUGAGUGUCAUUUGGAACUUAAAACAGCGAAUGUCACAGUAGAAAUCAGACUGACUCGUAGAGUUGUUUUAAAGGGGACCAAAGCCCAAUCUGAGCAAUUAAUUUUGGCUUGGCUGACAUCACUUGCCGGCCUAGAAUGCGCAGUUUUUGUGCUGCACCCUCCAGGGUGUGCCUGCAGAGCUGGGACUGGCCACAGCUGAGCAUCCUGGAAGUCAGCAGCUUUGGUCCCGGCCACACACGCUUUGGCAGAAUCCUAAUUGUUAUCACCCUGAUUCCCAUCUGAAACAGAUUGCUCCUGUUCUAGGAAACAAAUUCCAUACAGCAAAAGCUUGAGAGAGCAUAAUUAACCCAUAUCCUGUUCUGUCCCCUGUCCCUGGCGAUAUACAGAUCUUCUUUAACAUUUUGCUCAUAUUCUAGCUGCUGGCAUGCUGACUCGUUUAAUGAAAUUCAUAUCGGGUCUAAGGAGCUGUCAUUAGAUGAAAAUUAUUACUGAGCCUGCAAGCAACUCUCAGAUGACUUUGAGAAUCUCCAGAAUUAAUUAUGUUUAGAGACACUGCCAGCUACAUUGGGUCAAUCUGUUUCUUCUCAUUUCAAUUAAAUCG